UCCCUGGUGGCUCAGACGGUAAAGCUUCUGCCUGCAAUGCGGGAGACCCGGGUUCGAUCCCCGGGUCGGGAA
Molecule: non-coding RNA, 72 nt
Organism: Bos taurus (domestic cattle)
Lineage: Eukaryota; Metazoa; Chordata; Mammalia; Artiodactyla; Bovidae
Source: Rfam